Long non-coding RNA from Schistocerca nitens (vagrant locust), 624 nucleotides. RefSeq lists it as uncharacterized. The transcript has 3 exons. The record is from RefSeq and is a predicted model, not a curated record. Lineage: Eukaryota; Metazoa; Arthropoda; Insecta; Orthoptera; Acrididae.
UGCGCGCUUUUUUUGUUUUUCUCUCGAGAUUCUAUUCGCUAGUGUUUUCUCUGCAUCUUCGAGAUCACUCAGUGUCGAGUACCUCACGUUACUGUCAUUGACAGUCAAACCACAAGAAAGUUAACACUACUCCGUCAUUUUGCACUAACCGCGUUAGCAGAACACAAACAUUUCUGUAAGUGAGAAUGUCGACGAAAAGAACGUGUGACGUUUAGCGUGAAUAGCACAUUCAGUUUUCAUUUGUGCGAUUUUAUCAGUGAGUAGCUAGUGCGUGAUAGUGUUAUCUGUUGUGUGUUCAGUGUUAGCGGGUUGCAAUGCGAUGCUGACCGCAGGAUCUGCAACGUAAAAUUGUUUUUGAUCUGUCAUAGUUGGCUGCGCGUAUCGCGUUCGCUGCGACAGUCUUUUGUCGACUCAGUCAGCGUGUGUGUGCGUGUGACGCAGGAUGUUAUUCCCGUGUUGUGCUUGACAGAUACGAUAAAACUGCGUUCAUCGGAUCGCAGCUGAACUUCGACUGGAAAAAGAAGGAUACUGGAACUCAGCCUCGAGGAGGCAAGGACGCCGUGACUUGGCGUGUAUGGAAUGGUACCGGCCAGCACAACGUCUCGAUAGGCCAGCAACGUCGGG